GCCGGGCGCGGUGGCUCAUGCCUGUAAUCUCAGCACUUUGGGAGGCUGAGACGGGUGGAUCACCUGAGGUCAGGAGUUUGAGACCAGCCUGACCAAUAUGGUGAAACCCCGUCUCUA
Unclassified non-coding RNA from Pongo abelii (Sumatran orangutan), 117 nucleotides. It matches the Rfam family "Metazoan signal recognition particle RNA". From Rfam's summary of the family: The signal recognition particle (SRP) is a universally conserved ribonucleoprotein. The record is from Ensembl. Lineage: Eukaryota; Metazoa; Chordata; Mammalia; Primates; Hominidae.